RNAcentral lists this transfer RNA (77 nucleotides) under Arcobacter sp. FWKO B. Its description in RNAcentral is "tRNA-Arg". It matches the Rfam family "tRNA". Rfam says of the family: Transfer RNA (tRNA) molecules are approximately 80 nucleotides in length. Their secondary structure includes four short double-helical elements and three loops (D, anti-codon, and T loops). The record is from RNAcentral. Lineage: Bacteria; Pseudomonadati; Campylobacterota; Epsilonproteobacteria; Campylobacterales; Arcobacteraceae. RNAcentral also lists the same sequence under 1 other name.
GCGUCCAUAGCUCAACUGGAUAGAGCGUCUGACUUCGGAUCAGAAGGCUGAGGGUUCGAUUCCUUCUGGGCGCACCA